CCUACGGGAGGCAGCAGUGGCGAACGGAUCGGGCGCAUGCUGAUCAGCCAUGCCGCGAGUGAAGAACGCCUUCGGGUUGUAAAGCUCUUUCGGCCGGGAAGAAAUCGCAUUGGUUAAUACCUGGUGUGGAUGACGGUACCGGAAUAAGAAGCACCGGCUAACUACGUGCCAGCAGCCGCGGUAAUACGUAGGGUGCGAGCGUAACGUUAAUCGGAAUUACUGGGCGUAAAGCGUGCGCCAGGCGGUUUUUGUAAGACAGGCGUGAAAUCCCCCCGGGUCAACCUGGGAACUGCGCGCUUGUGACUGCAAGGCUAGAGUACGGCAGAGGGGGGUGGAAUUCCACGUGUAGCAGUGAAAUGCGUAGAGAUGUGGAGGAACACCAAUGGCGAAGGCAGCCCCCUGGGUCGAUACUGACGCUCAUGCACGAAAGCGUGGGUAGCAAACAGGAUUAGAUACCCUGGUAGUCCACGCCCUAAACGAUGUCAACUAGGUGUUUGGGAGGGUAAAAACCUUUUAGUACCGGAGCUAACGCGUGAAGUUGACCGCCUGGGGAGUACGGCCGCAAGGUUAAAACUCAAAGGAAUUGACGGGGACCCGCACAAGCGGUGGAUGAUGUGGAUUAAUUCGAUGCAACGCGAAAAACCUUACCUACCCUUGACAUGUCAGGAAGUCUUGAGAGAUUGAGAUGCGCCCGAAAGGGAACCUGAACACAGGUGCUGCAUGGCUGUCGUCAGCUCGUGUCGUGAGAUGUUGGGUUAAGUCCCGCAACGAGCGCAACCCUUGUCGUUAAUUGCCAUCAUUUAGUUGGGCGCUUUAGCGAGACUGCCGGUGACAAACCGGAGGAAGGUGGGGAUGACGUCAAGUCCUCAUGGCCCUUAUGGGUAGGGCUUCACACGUCAUACAAUGGUCGGUACAAAGGGUCGCCAACCCGCGAGGGGGAGCCAAUCCCAGAAAGCCGAUCGUAGUCCGGAUUGCAGGCUGCAACUCGCCUGCAUGAAGUCGGAAUCGCUAGUAAUCGUG
RNAcentral lists this ribosomal RNA (1020 nucleotides) under uncultured Dechloromonas sp. Its description in RNAcentral is "bacterial SSU rRNA". It matches the Rfam family "Bacterial small subunit ribosomal RNA", at positions 338 to 1346 of the family's 1533-position model. The record is from RNAcentral. Lineage: Bacteria; Pseudomonadati; Pseudomonadota; Betaproteobacteria; Rhodocyclales; Azonexaceae.